Molecule: ribosomal RNA, 1292 nt
Filed under: Bolivaritettix yuanbaoshanensis
Lineage: Eukaryota; Metazoa; Arthropoda; Insecta; Orthoptera; Tetrigidae
Description: 16S ribosomal RNA
Rfam family: Archaeal large subunit ribosomal RNA (bases 1049-1209)
Source: RNAcentral
UUAUAAUUUAAUUUUUUUUAUUAGUUUUUUAUAUUUUUUAUUUAAUAAAUUUUAUUUUAUUUUUUUUUAGUAUUUUUGAAAUUAUUAUUUUAUUAUAGUUUAUUUUUAAUGUAGAUGAUUGUUUUUAAUAUAAAUUAAAAAUAUUCUUUUAUUGUACCUUUUGUAUCAGGGUGGAUUUAAUAACCUUUUUAUAUAAAUUUUUCUCGAAUUGUAAGGAUUUAUUUUAAUAUGCUAGUUUUGUUGUUACAUAAUUAUUGUUAAUAUUAAGAUGGGAGUGAUAUUCUAUUCGUUUUAUAAUAUAUCUAGUUUUCUAAGAUAAAAUUUAAUUUUAUGAAAGUUUUUAAUUUUGUUUUUUUUUACUUAAUUAUGGAUUUUUUUUUAUGGGCCAGGGGUUAAGCUCUGGUUUAAGUUAAUUAUAAUAUUAUUAUUUAUUUUUUUUAUAGGCUUGGAAUUAGCCAUUAUUUAAAGUGUGUUUUAUUUUAAUGAUAGUUGUUAAUUAUUUUUUAAAUUAUUUAAUUUUUAUAUUAGAAUAUUGAUUUGAUUUAUAUUUGUCAACUAAUAAUGAUUUAAUUAGUAUAUUUUUUUUGUUUAAUAUUAUAAUGAUUAUUAAUUUAUUAAAAGGAAUUUGGCAAAUUUUCUAUACCUCCGCCUGUUUAUCAAAAACAUCUUUUUUAGUUAUUUAUUUAAGAUAGGGCCUGCUCACUGAUAUAUUAAAGAGCCGCAGUAUUUUGACUGUGCAAAGGUAGCAUAAUCAUUAGUAUAUUAAUUGUAUUCUAGAAUGAAAGGUUUGACGAGGGGUAUACUGUCUCUUAAUAAUGAUUAGAAGUUUACUUUCUAGUAAGAAGGCUUGAAUUUAUUUUUUGGACGAUAAGACCCUAUAGAACUUUAUUUAUUAAAUUUAAAUUUUUUGGGUUAGUUUUAUGGAUUUAUUUUUUAUUAAUUUUGGUUGGGGCGAUUUGAAUAAUAUAUAAACUGUUCAUUUUGAUUUUCAUUUAUUUAUGUUAUUGAUGAUCUUGUAUUAUUGAUUUAAAGAUUAAGUUACCUUAGGGAUAACAGCACAAUUAUCUUUGAGAGUUCAUAUUGACAAGAUUAGUUUGUGACCUCGAUGUUGGAUUAAGGUUAUUAAUUGGGUGAAGGAGCUCAAUGAAUUGGUCUGUUCGACCAUUUAAAUCUUACAUGAUCUGAGUUCAAACCGGCGUGAGCCAGGUUGGUUUCUAUCCAAAAGUUUUUUUUAUUUUCUAGUACGAAAGGACCGUUAAUUUUGAUUGUUUCAUAAGUUUUGAAUAUUAAUA